CAGCCGCCGCGGGAAUACGUAGGGUGCAAGCGUUAAUCGGAAUUACUGGGCGUAAAGCGUGCGCAGGCGGCUAUGCAAGACAGAUGUGAAAUCCCCGGGCUCAACCUGGGAACUGCAUUUGUGACUGCAUGGCUAGAGUACGGUAGAGGGGGAUGGAAUUCCGCGUGUAGCAGUGAAAUGCGUAGAUAUGCGGAGGAACACCGAUGGCGAAGGCAAUCCCCUGGACCUGUACUGACGCUCAUGCACGAAAGCGUGGGGAGCAAACAGGAUUAGAUACCCGGGUAGUCCCUGUCUCUUAUAC
This 301-nucleotide ribosomal RNA is filed under the name uncultured bacterium. RNAcentral's name for it is "partial 16S ribosomal RNA". It matches the Rfam family "Bacterial small subunit ribosomal RNA", at positions 509 to 807 of the family's 1533-position model. The record is from RNAcentral.